CGGAGAAAAAAAAUUAAAGCCUCAUUUUUAUCUGUAUAUUUUCUUCUUUUUAUAGCUUAAGAAACAUUCUUUUUUAGUGAAUUAUGAGAAGUUAAAGAUAUUUGCCCUUUUGAUCUUAUGUUCGAUGGAACAUACAUUGUACAGAAUCUUCACAGGCAGACUGAACUUCAUGACACAGACUCAUUUCUCAUUAUUGUAGACUGUCGAUGCUUUCUUGUGUUCACAUGUUGAUCAACUUUUUGCCCUUAGAAUAGCAACGAAACUUCUGUCUUUUUAUUGUUGUGAAUAUUUCUGGCCAGUUUCAAAAUGAUUACCCCAUCCUAAUUGACUUGCAUUUUAUAGAGGAUCACUGCCUGACGUGACAGUGUAGUGUCUUGCAUAUCACUCACCCACUUACUCAGAUUAUCUGUUUAGACAAACGAUUUUCUGUUCUUCAGUUGUUUUUAGAUGUUUAAUUAUAUUGUGCAUUGCUUUAUUAUCAUAGCAAAGAAAUUGCACCUAUAUAUUCAUAUAGGAAUAGCUCCAAGCUUGUUCGAUGAAGACAUUGGGGGCUUUGCAAUUACAUAAUUCAUUUUUGUCUUCUCCUUAAAAAUGUAAGAAGAUUUGGGUGGGCGAUCUGCCUGUGACCAAUGAGUUACUUCUUUGAACAAAAGAAAACAGACUAUGUUAUGAAGUUACAUUUCUGAAAUAAACCUUCAAUAUUCCUCCUUUUUCUGUCCUUCCAUCUUGUGCUGUGUUUCACAUUUUCCCUUGACAUCCUAUUAUUACUUGGCUUUUGCUGUCUUUUUUUUAACAAUAGAUUUGCUUUUUAUCCUUUUGUUAUGUAUACCUAGGCAUAAUACGCACAUGAUUAUUAUGACAGCUGUUUCAAAUCAACAAAUACAUCUUGUUUAGUCAACGGGUGACUGAAUACAAUCGAUAAGUGUUCCCCAUGUAUUACUAGCUGUUUUUUCUAAUGUUAUUGAAUGUUUUGCUCGAGUAAUUGUUAUGUAGUCAAUGAUAACAUCAACUGCUAGAUCUAUACCUAAGUUAGGUAAAAGUUUUCCCAAUGCUUGCUUUAAGAUUCUCCCCCAUCAUGUGUCCUGAGCUAGUGCUCAACCUUUGAAAUGACCAGCCUCUUUCUAGUUAAAACACUAACAAAGACAAGAUGAAUAAACAACAAAAAGAUUGAAUGAUCCUUUCUGCUUGAUGUCCAUGAAAGUGCACACACACAUGCGACAUGUUCAUGUUUGUCAUGUGUUUUUAUUACUGAGAGAAAAAAAAGUGUUUCCUUUUUCUGAGCUAGUUACUUUUUUUUUUUUCCAUUAUAUAGUAUGUCUUAACAUUGAAGUAUGAUGUUCAGAUAAGCAUUUUAUUGUUCUAAUGUUUCCAUUAUACUGUUUUAAUGUAGAUUUGAGGCAUCACCUUCCUGUUAUUUGAGAAGUAAAGAUUGUAAAAAAGAAAAGAAGAGACAGCUUUCUUCCCACUUUGAGGAAGUUAAUUGUAUAAUCGAUUGCACAAAGAUAUAUAUACAGAUGGUAAAAGUCCUUUUGUUCUUUCAUAUGAAACUACACAUCGACAAAUUUUCAGCUUAAACUUACCAUGACUCUUUCUAGCACCCUGUUCUUGGUCCAGUGUUAAAUGUAUCGGACUCAAUAACCACCCAUCUAAUAGCUUUUCUCAUUUUACAUUACUUCACAUUUUCAUUUGAGAUCCACCCUUGCCAAAUUGUAUUUGUUAUAUUGUUUAUGUCCUAACCGUGGGGAUUAUUGCGGAUAAUGAAUUUUCUGUGUUCCGUGUCUCUUAGGCAGAUUUCAAAAAUACUUUGCGAUUUCUUUUUAAAUACAUGAUGUAUUCUUGUGCAGAUGCUAUUAGUACUUUGUGAGAUUUUUUAAAUUAAGCAUAUCUUUACAAUGUGGUCUACCAUAGAAGUUUGACAGCUUCUUUGAAUCAUUUUGAUGUAUAAAUAUACUUUAAAUAUAGGAAAUGGCUACAAGUAGCUGUGUUUCUAAAUGUCAUGUGAAAAUCUUCCAUAUCAGAAGCAGGAUGGAAAGGGGUGGCUAGCCAAGAACUAUAAAAAGUGUUUAAAUAGGAAGUUCUCCUGUGAAAGACUGAGAAAAUAUGUUGACAUUCCAAGAACUUUUAUGAGUGUUCUAAGUGUUUGUGACAUUUGUAGAAUGUAUAGUGUAAAAAAAAAAUCAUCUCUGCUUGAAAGAUCAGUCUUGAAAUUGUUAUAGAAGAGGGAAGUUGUAAAAAGGAAUCCUUUUCAGUAUGUUGUUUACUUUAUUUUCUCUCUUGAUUUAAAAAAAAAAAAAGGCUGGUUGCUGUCACAGGGGAGAUGUUUGAUCAGGGAAUCCGUAUUUGACAAAAGAAUGCAACUAUUUUACAUCACCUUUUGUCAGUGCAAUAUUAUCCUGUGCCGUGUGAUUUGUGGUCACAUUCUUUGUAUGCCUUUAGAAACAGGGAUACAAAUUAUGUGUGGAUUGAAAGUGAAGCAGAUGGAUUGCACAGAAUGGGUCAUGGUGCAAAAGAUUGUUGUGUUGUAGGAAGUAAGAUUGAUUUGAACACUGUUUUGCUCGUUGCACCCCAGCAAUAUACAGACUGUUACUUCUGAUUGAUCAUCGUGCCAUUGUUUUUUUUUAGAGACUGGAGUGUGAUAAUACUUCAUAGUGAAUUCCAGUGUUGGUUAAAAAAUUACAGUGAGGUUCUUCAUGUACAAGAAAGUGUCCAUGUCUUAGAUUUAUCCAUUUACCAAUAAAGCCGGCACCGGCUAGUGGUGUGAUGGUCCUGUCUAAAUCACUUUGAUGUGGUCUUAUAGAACCUGUACAUAUGUUUUAAAGUGUCCUAUGAUUACAGCUUCUUUAGUCUUGUUAACUGAUAAUAAAAAAAUUUUUUUAAGGGGGAUAGUGGUAUGAGUUUUUAUAUGUUCCUUUAUUAAAUCCACUUUUUCAAGUUACAGGGUUUGUGCUUGUGCCAGUCAGUAUUUUUUGUGGGCCAGACAUAUUUUGUAGAAUGUGGUUUAAACCUGACAGAAGAAGGCGAUUAAAACAAUUUUUAUGAUAGCAUUGGGAAAAGCUGUGAUAUACAUAUAUAUAUAUAUUUUCAAGUUGUUGUGACGACAUCAUGUCUUUAUAAAAUUUAUACUUUUUCUUUGAUUAAAGUAAUUUUUUUUUUCUAGAAGCAUUAACGUUUUGGUCAAUUCCAUGUUAUGAGUUUGUUCUAUAUAGUUGGUAGAGUGAUAUUGCCUUUUCCUGCCCUGAGUCAAAGGGACGCUUCAGCACUUGUUUGUUUAGUUUGUUUUUGUUCUCAACUGAACACAAUUGUAUUUUGUGGAGAGCUUUUGUCCGUUUUGCUGAGUAAACUGAAAAGACAGAGGUGUUAAUUUGUACACUUGAAAGACUGGUAGAUUGUUUGGAUAAUUAUAUUAUGGAAAAUCAUUUUUUUCUAUCAAUUUACUGUUGUCAUAUUUGGCUGUUGCCAAUUCCAUAAUUUUGGCAAAGUGAAAACCUGUUGAUAUGCUGUGAGUAUAGCCUCAGACCCACUUGGUACUGGCAUUUUCGACAGCGCAUAUUAUUGGUUUCCCGAUCUGAAGGAGGGGUAAGCUUGAGUGUUUCACGUAAAGUGCUCACUGAAGGUCAACACACAUGCUCAAAACUAGCCAAUCUAAGCCGUUCAAAGUCGUUUUAGAUUAUUACUUUUGCUUACUGGUGACAUCACCAUUGUGGAAAAUGGAUCCCAUUGUAUAUUUAAUGCAAAUUAUAUUGAAAUUUUGAUCAGUUAUGAUUAUCAAAUGCUGACUAAAAAAACAAAAUUGCAUGUGCAAUACGAGGAUGAUUAUGGUUGUUCAUGAACUGUCUAGUAAUAAAAUGUGAGAGGUUAUCUGUUAACCUAGAAGUCCUCUACUCUUUCCAUGACUUUCACCUUGCUGAUUUAGGCUACUAAAGUUUUUUUAAAAAUGUCAUUUUGAAUAUUAUAUGUUCUUUCGGAUGAGUGCCAUAUAAAGGAAACGGUCAGUAACGAAGUUGUCCCUGUCACGAGUAACAUUGUCAUCUAAUAUUUUUAUGUUCUUCCCUCUUUCAUUUCUUUCUUUGUCUUGCAUAUUUUUUUCACAGCUCUCGUACGUUGACAUGUUAGUCAUGGUCUGUUCAUCAAAAUAAUGAAUUGGUGAGGAAUGGUUGAACAAUGUGUCGAACAAAAUUUUGGUUGUUUUGUUUCAGUUGUGUUUCUGUGAGAUGUUGGCCCUGCUUUGCUCUUUUCUUUCCAAGCCCAAAUAUAGAUUUCCAUUGUAUCAAGGCAGAAGUUUUAAGUGUGUAGAAAAUUAAGGGACAGAUGUUUUUGGUUGCAUAAUGGAAGAAAAGCUCACCACUAAGGGUGAGGGAUCCUCCAGCAUUAUAUCUCUUGAUAAUGCCUCAUCUUUGUAUGCUCAUUGCUGGUAUUGGGCUGAUCACAUUGAAGGUUGCUGCAGAGAUGGGAACUUUUGCUCUUUCACUUUCUGAUCUGUGUUAUUUUAUCUAAUUUUUUGUUUGUUUCUAGAGAAAGCUCAAUAACUUAUUCUUUGUGGAGUUUAUGAGAAUCUCUAUGUGUGUUAAUAUAAAUGUAUUUAUUUUCAUUGUAUUGUACAUUAUCACACACACUCUUGUCUGACACUUAUACAAUAUUGUAUAAAAGAUCUUGUAAAUGGUAUUGAUUUUUGUUUGUGAGCUAUCAGGUCUCUCAUGGGAUGAUACGUCAUAAGAAAAUGUUAAGAGACCGCAGAAAAAAGCCUUGAGUUAUGUCAUAUGAGCAACGGAGAAGCUCUUCUGACUGCUUUGGGUGUGCUAUUUUUAUCAUGUUGUGUCAUUGUCUUAUCAGGUCAAUUUUUUUUCUUUCCUGUCUUAUGGCAGAACCCCCCACCCCCCAGCACAUUACAAUUACAGGGAAUAAACUUUCAAUGUGAAUUGUUGAUGUUCAAUCUGGUGUGGCCUCCUGCUUAUCAUUUUCUUCAUUAUCUCUAUUCCUCUUAAUCUGUGUGUGGUGAAAUCCUUCUGACUGGUUAACUGAUCCUUGUGCUCCACUUAGUCUCACUUUACUAAUCAUAAAGGAAUGUUUUAUUGUAUGUCAUAGGAGAUUAUGAAUUCUAAAAAUCUUUAAUGAGUGUGCUUUCCUCACUUUUUGACUCCCAGCAGUUGGGUGGGUGUAGAAUUGUGAAUUACAAUGGAAAUCCUAUGUAAGUUUAAAGCUCACAAAAUAGAAACUCCUUUGGCUGACACUUCUUUUGUUGUAAGUGUCAUGCCGUCACAUUUGUUAAUGAGCAUGUGGUGAAUGGUAAGUCAAGGCUGGGAGUUUCACAUCCUGAAAGGAAGAGUGUAUUUGUCGCUGUCACAAGAAAAAGGAGUAACUCACCCUGUGGAGCAAAGUCAAAAAGAGCUACUACUUGUUUUUCUUGCGAUAUCGAAAAUGGGUUAAGAAGAUAUGUUGUAUUCUAGGAACAAUGUUUCCCUACUGCUAUUUGGCAGCCUAAAACUACAGAUUCUGUUUUCAUCACAAAUUUUCUUUCUUUCUUUUCUUUUCUUUUCUUUUUAUUCUUUUCUUUUCUUUCUCUUCCUUUUGUUUUUAUUUUUGUUUUUGUUUUGUUUUGUUUAGAUAGAUCUAUAUUUAUUCUUGAUGCUUGGUAAGGAGCUUUAACAAUAUUCCUGUUGUUUGUGACUCAUUUGCUGUACACACUGCCUUCACACUAUGUUGUGAUUUCCCUCGGUAUUCUGUUCAUUUGCUCAGUAUGUUUUUGCUUUUGUCAUAUUUAAUUUUAGUCGUGUUAUCACAAGAUAUGUGUACCAUGCAAAUGUACUGUCCUUUUUUCAGUUGAAAACAAUAUAUGCGAGAUGAAUAAAGAUUGUCAUUGUCGUUGUCAUAUUAGUCCAAGCUAGAUUGUGUACAAUUGCUACUGGGAGUACAUGUAAAUGAAUAAAUAUGUAACGUUAUGACUUAAUUGCUAACAGCUGAUAUGAAUGAGUGAAUCCCAACAGCUGAUGUGUGUACUAAUGUAAAAAGGAAAUGUUGAGCAAUCUUAAAUCUUUGUACCUUGACACUUUGCCGAUUAAUCAGAUUUUGCGGGUUUUAAAAAAAGUUACUCAUGUGCUUUUCUAGGAAUAGGCAUAGAAUAUUCUGAUCCACAUAUAUGUACGGACAUGUCAAAUUAUAAUGUAGAUCUAGUUAGACUUUUCAGUUUAAUUGAAACAGUGUACAUAUAGACUUGACUUAUGAUAGUGUUUGUGGUGUUUAUUUGAGUGCUGUUGGACUGAUAAUGAUAUUUGAUUAUAAAAUGUUAACAAAAGAAAAAUGAACAAAAAGAGGGAUGUUAUCCCUUUUUAUGAACAAAAUGAAUGUCUGUAAAAGGCACCUCAAUCUACGGAGUAAGUUAGUUUUGUUAAAAGUAGCGAGACGUAUUCUAAUGUUAUUGCUGUUGUUUGAUCUGCUAUAGUGCAUGUUGUCUCGGGGAUAGAAAUGAUUGGCAUAUUGUUUGAUGUAUCCAUUAACAAUACUGGAACAGUAUAAUUGGGGUGGGGGGGGGGGGGUAUUGCUUAAAACUUAUGGAUAACUUCGCUCAUCAGAGCUUACUUCUGAAAAGAAAUCAAAUGCCUGUCAUCUAUCCGUGCAAGGUAACAGGCAGGAUUUCUGAAUUAUUCUUUCAUAGUGUGCAGUGCCCGUGAUGCUUCUAAAAAGACAUGUGCUUGACAUGACAUUGUCAAUAUAUCUAUGACAUAGGACAUUGUCAGUAUAGUGACAACUUAGGUGCCUUGAUGUCAUUUGAAAUUCUGUUUAAACAGUUUAUUUCAGUAUUGGAUAUUGAAUAUAAUCACUAUCAGGGUAUAAAUGUUAACUUUGAAGUGUCAGGUUUUGUGCAUCACCUUUAUGAUGUCUUUAGCAGGCUUCUCACUUUUUCUGUUUAUGUAGACUAUUCUAUCUCAGGUUUGGGUUGUUUGAGUUUGAAAGGGAGUACCUUUCCUAAGCUUUGAUUUUGAAAUGACUGCUCUGGGAAUGAAGUUAUUUCAAAUGACAGCUCUUUAGGUUUUGCCUCGGUGUAUAAAUAUAAAACUCAAGGCUGAAUUUUGUCUUGAAUAUCCUUUUGUUUUGGUGUUAAAUGGCAUUCGCAACUACAUAAGGUCAGGUGAGUGCGGGGGACACGUUAAAUGUUUUCAGUGUGGUAGGAAGUUUGAAUUUUGCACAGGUGGCGGUUGAAGCCUACUCAGACUACUCUUAACGAUUUUAGGACCACCACGGGAUCUUAACGUUUGCAUCAUUUUUCAUCCUUAUCCUUUAAGGUUAGGUCAGGGGUGAAAGACGGCAGAAAGAAGGAGCUAGGAGUAGCAGUAGAAAGAUUCAGGAGCCCAGAGGACGGGGGAAGGAGGGGAGGCAGAAAGUGGAGAUACAAUGAAAGCAGAUGCCAGAAUAUGAUUAGAGGAGGGGGCGAAAGGAGAAAUUAUAAAGAACAUUUUUCGGUGCUGUCAGGUUUCAAACCCAGGACCUAUUGAAUGAAAGACAAACACCGUACUUCUAGACCACGAGAGCCCUCUAGGUAUCCUUUGUCAAAAGCUCAUAUGACUAUUGUUAUAAGGUCGUGAUAGUCUACAACAUUUUCUGUUUGACACACCUGGCCAGUGCGGCACUUUUUGUGCUUGUUAACCCUAUCCGUACGUCUUGUUUUACUAUCGUAUUCAUAUGACGUGGGGAAUUCUGUGCCUCCACUUUCCAAAGAGGAAAUUUACUCGUUAAUCCUAUCUGUAUUCUUUGCAUAGCAGUCUGUCAAAAUGAAUUUUUGAGAAAUACUGAAAGUUUCAAAGAGAAUGUUCUCACUAGAAGUAUUCUAAAAUGUGAAGAAUACAACCCUGGGGGUACAAAAUGACCCCAGGGCGUACGGAUAGGGUUAAGCCCUCUGCUUUGUGAGUUGGAAUUUGCUAAUAAGAAUGCUUUGGUUUAUGUACACAGCUUGAACUUGGGUUUAGUUUUUAUUUUUGUUGUCUUGCUUUUCAUCUUUCAUUUGCAGUAUUUCAUGGUUGUGCGAAUCUAUUGUGAUGGGUUUAGUGAUUACUUUUUAAUGAAUAACUUGUACUUUGUACUUGUAUGUCUCCCAUAGAACAUAACAAACUUCUCCCCAGGCGGUGUAUCACAUACAGUGUUUUAACAUUCCUGCAUGUGGCUUGCACCUCACUACAUUUCCCAUUCCAGAAUUGUCGAAUAAUAAAGGCUUUGCAGGUCUCUUGCCUAUGUAUGAUUUCCUUCCCUGCUUAUUAAAAAAAAAGUUUGAUUGCCACGUUUAUAUAGUAGAAUGGUGAUGCGCAGAAAAUAAAAGAUUUUGAAACAGGUUUUUGGUUUUUGUCUAGGUUUCUGUUUGUGAUUGUGAUAUAAUGCAUUGUCUGUACACAAUAAAAGUUAAAUACAUGCAAUAAAAUGAUUCUUUUUAAAGCGAU
This 8423-nucleotide long non-coding RNA is filed under the name Aplysia californica (California sea hare). RNAcentral's name for it is "uncharacterized LOC101846843". The record is from RNAcentral. Lineage: Eukaryota; Metazoa; Mollusca; Gastropoda; Aplysiida; Aplysiidae.